ACGAACUGUGUCAAAAUAGAGUACCGGUGUUCAAACUUGUGUCUCCGUUCUAAAGCACAACUUCUGAUUAUCUUGCUGCCACUGUAUUCCCACACGUCACGUCAACUAUAUAAGCCCCGGUUGCUGUCCAAGACGCCAUACCCACUAACAGACAACAUGAAGUAUCUCGCUCUUCUCCUGGUCAUUGCAGUCUUCACCCUCAACACAGGCGAGGUGAGUGGCCAGCAGUGUGCGGGCUCCUGUAAGAACGAGGCACAUGGUGGACACGACUUCUGCGCUGCUGAGUGUUCUUCCUGCGCACAUGGAGCCCACUGUGACCAUCACAAUGACGUCUGUACCUGCCCAAACGCUUAGGGAUGUUCUCCUGCACACGAUUUGGGAUUUCUUCACAUGAAGCACACACUUAAAUAAAAAUGUGGAACAUUUU
Molecule: long non-coding RNA, 427 nt
Organism: Haliotis rubra (blacklip abalone)
Lineage: Eukaryota; Metazoa; Mollusca; Gastropoda; Lepetellida; Haliotidae
Exons: 4
Source: RefSeq, a predicted model, not a curated record